AGUUUCCUGAGAUAAUUGAGAUAAACAUUCCAAACUUCCUUUCCUUUUAGAUUUUCCAAGAAGUUGUUGUGCUUAAAACUAAAAUCAAGUUUGUUUCAAGAAACACUACUCUCCUAACUGAAAUGCCUUUGUCAUGUGUCAUCAACAAGAACAGGAACAAAAAUGGCAGCACGACUACUGAGUGGGAAGUGGAAGUGAGAAUAAACAAUGCACAUGAAGACAUGGGAGCUGCUUGUGGGACACCAUCAUGUAACAAUCCAAAUAUUACAGACCCUUGUUUGCCAAAUGAUGUACUUUUAUCAGAAGAGAAGAAACCGGGCUAUUCACCCCUCCAUCGAGAAGCAAUUUGGAAUGACUGCAGCGAGUGCUUAGACUGAGGAUUUAAGAAGUGUGAGAUGUGAGAAGUUGAAAUGAGCUUGAAUGAUAUCUCAAUUUGAUCCAUUUUUAAAAAGAAAUUAAUUUGCAAUUUUAAAUAAAAUGGUAUGUUUCCUUCUUAUAUUCCCUUUGUUAAAAAAAGGAGCUGCCCUUUUAACUAUGGAGUUUUAU
This 546-nucleotide long non-coding RNA is filed under the name Ictidomys tridecemlineatus (thirteen-lined ground squirrel). RNAcentral's name for it is "lncRNA (ENSSTOG00000029674.1)". The record is from RNAcentral. Lineage: Eukaryota; Metazoa; Chordata; Mammalia; Rodentia; Sciuridae.